GCGUCCCCAGCCCCCAUGCACCCAGCUCCACCCUCGGGAGCGGCUAUCAGUUGCUAGGUGGGGCUGUCUGCCAGGGAGAUUAGAAGAGGGCGAAGCCUGCCCCAACAAUCCCCAACGCAGAGCUCUGAACUUAGAAAAAUGCUGCCCAAGUUCCACCCAGAGUCCCGACCUCUGCGGGUAUGACCGCUGAAUUACCCCGCUCUUCCGACAGCCUUUGGGGUUGCCCGCCCACGUCGAAGCCCACCUCCCACGAGCAAGGGGAAGAAAUUGAGCUUCCAAGGAAGAGCUCAAGCAAUAAAUGCUAGGUCAGAGGGACAACUUGUGAGGUCACAAUCAGAGCUCUUCGCCAGGUCUUUUCCUCCUGGGCUGUAUUCAGUAUGU
This is a long non-coding RNA of Hyaena hyaena (striped hyena), 381 nucleotides long. RefSeq lists it as uncharacterized. The transcript is spliced from 3 exons. The record is from RefSeq and is a predicted model, not a curated record. NCBI's taxonomy places the organism in Eukaryota, Metazoa, Chordata, Mammalia, Carnivora, Hyaenidae.